ACAGAAUCCAGCCGGACUAGCCUCUGGACUCGCGGCCACCGAUCGAAACCGCUCAACCGCUGGACAGCACGCGGCGCAACGACCAUGGCAGAAACGAUCGGACGACGACCGAAGCCGCCUCUCCUGUACCCAUUGCGGCGGUAAGAAGCACACCAAAGAUGGUUGUUUCCUACUAAUCGGAUUUCCCGAGUGGUGGGAUGAGAUGAAACGAAAUAGAGCAGCACGGGCAGCGAAUCGAGGAGGACGGGUCGCAACCGUCCUUAGCGACCGGGCUACCGACGCCGGUGGAUCGACGGGCAGCGCCGGCGCGACGCACGGCAGCACAGGAGCGGAGCAGCGGGACGGCGAGAAUGGACAGUGUUCAGCGGCUAGGGUUUUUUCAGGAUAUCAAGACGGGGACGAUGAUUGGGCGUGGCACUGAACGACGAGGGCUUUAUUAUGUAGACAGGAUGGCCCAACACGGUACUGCGAUGCUGACUCAAGGACCGACUUCGUCACAAGCCUGGAUUUGGCAUCGCCGGUUAGGACACCCGUCUAUAGGAUAUUUACGUUUACUGUUUCCUAAACUUACUACCAGUCUUCCCUAUUUGAAUUGUGAGACUUGUUUUUUGGCCAAGAGCCAUAGACACACGUUUAAAUUUAGUAAUACGCGUGAAAAAAUUCCUUUUUCCA
Long non-coding RNA from Salvia splendens (bonfire salvia), 672 nucleotides. RefSeq lists it as uncharacterized. NCBI's taxonomy places the organism in Eukaryota, Viridiplantae, Streptophyta, Magnoliopsida, Lamiales, Lamiaceae. The record is from RefSeq and is a predicted model, not a curated record. The transcript is spliced from 2 exons.